Molecule: long non-coding RNA, 604 nt
Filed under: Capsella grandiflora
Lineage: Eukaryota; Viridiplantae; Streptophyta; Magnoliopsida; Brassicales; Brassicaceae
Description: long non-coding RNA (CGRA_LNC000625)
Source: RNAcentral
UUUGACAUCGGAUAUGUGAUAAACGGCCAAGUGACCGUCUUCCUGAAAUCUAAUAACAAAUAGAUUUGCAACCAAAAACACUAAUUUCUCCUUUUUUAUACUCAAACAAAAAGAAAUGUCAAAAAUAAUAAUAAGAAGAAGAUACAAGAGAACCAAAAAGAAAACGUAAAGUAGCACAAGUAUUUGUUUCCAUGCUAAAGAAGCGGAGCGGGAGAUCUUUUGUUCAAUCUGAAAUCUGAUACUGAGCCUUUGGUUUCUAUACUUUUAUACUCUUCACCAAAAUUGCCUAUACAAAGAUGAUUCUCGAAAUCAACCAAAUAACGCUGACUUUUGCUGCGAGUCGUUUGUCUUUUACGUGGUGAGUGUCUUUUCGCUGUUUGAAAGAAAGAAAAACUCGAUUGCGUCCAUAAUGCCUUGAGCAAAGUCAGAGUUUCCAACUGCAAGAAAGGUUCGAGGAAAUUAGUAAAACUAAAGUAAUUUAAAGAACUUAACCGAUGUGAUUGACGCUAAUACAUGCAAGGAAUAAAGUGUAUCUUAUGGGACAACACUUCAAAGAUUUCCAGACAGAAAGGUGUAAGCAAAUCUUAGACUCUUUAAGAUACAC